This 2942-nucleotide long non-coding RNA is filed under the name Ricinus communis (castor bean). Its description in RNAcentral is "long non-coding RNA (RCOM_LNC001960)". The record is from RNAcentral. Lineage: Eukaryota; Viridiplantae; Streptophyta; Magnoliopsida; Malpighiales; Euphorbiaceae.
GAUCAGAAGAUAUCAUCAUGAUUAAGCAAAAGAAUGACUGUUUAACAUACAAAUAUGUUCAAGGGGAGAAUUUGAGAGCAAUUAAAGGAAAGACUUCCUUGUAAAAAGUGUUUCGCUAGUCGUAAUUAGAAGUAUCCUAAAUAAGUAAGCAGUAAAAUUAUUACAACAGUUUAUACUAGGAGUGAAAAUGGCAAAAUCAUUAAGACCAGUUUCUUCAGCUAUAAUGGACUGCAAAAGCUUCAGCAGCAGAUUUGUAUAGAACAGGUCUGAGGUAGGUUGAUCCAUUAAUCAUCUCCCUUCUACCAUUCCGAAUCAACACAGCAAAAGCAGCAAGCAUAUCUGCCCUGCGAGCCAUAAUAAUUAUGAUCAACUUUACUGAAAAUAGUACCGUACCUUUCUCAACCACCAACACGCAGAUCUGAAUCCUAACAGCACCCUUGUUGUUGUAAUUAUAACUUAUUUAAUUAUGUUUAUCCCCACAGAAGCCUUCUAGAAAGUUUGAUUUUUUUUUUUCUCGAGAAAAUUAUGUUUAACUUUUUAUGAUUUAUAAUUUGGUUAAAACUAUUUUUUUGGGGUGAUUUAAGUGGGUUUUAAGGGAUUAAUGUUCAAUUUAUAUUAUCAUGCUAAUUUUAAUUUUAAUAUUUUUUUAAAUAUUAUUAUUUAAUUUAAUUUAUUUAGUUUAAUGUAUCUUUUUUUAAUUUUUAAAUGAAUGUCAAAUUGUCUUCAUCUUAUUGGUUCUAUACAUGUAAGAAUGAUAUAAUUUUUUAAGAAAGAAGCUUAAUCAGAUGGAUUGCAACAUCAGAUUUCCGUCUGUCUCUUAAACGUGUCUCUUAAACGGAAACUGAUAAAAAUGAUUUUAGUAAUUUUUCUGUUAAAAUUUAAGAAUUUAGUGAUAUAAAAUAAAUNNNNNNNNNNNNNNUAUGAUAUAUAAGACAAAUUUGAGGGGCCAUUUGUGCAAUUUACCCCACUUGGUAGCAAUCCUAAGAACAGUGUCGUGGUGCAAAUUCUGCAACAGUGAGUUCCACCGUUGGGACAUUGAAUGAAUGGCCUCAGUGUUAGGAAUAUAACCUAGAGUGGAAGCAAAUCAAGUUUGCUUAGCCAGGGGAAAACAAAAAAUCAACUUCACGUAGGAAUUCACCCUUGAGUAAAGCAUUUAUUUUCUAAGAAAGUACGUGAAAAAGAAUUAGAUUAUGCUUCUUUUUCUUUAUUUGAUUUGUUUAUAAUAUGUGUCCUCUCUAUCCAAAAAAAAAAUUAUUAAUACUUAAUAAAAACUCGAAAUGUUAAAAUAACUCUAAUUAGUUAAAAAAAUCUAAAAUGAGAAGUAGAAAUUCUCAAAAUAUGUUUUAAAUACGAUAUAAAUAGAAUCUUUCAUUUUUUUUUAUAUUUUAUUAAUAUAUAGAAACCUGAGCAUAUUUAUUUUAUAAAUAGAAAUUUCACCCCUGAAGUUAUGAUUUGUUCAUACACAGCAUGCAAUAUAUAAUAAGUUUUGGAUUUACCUUAGCUAUGUGCUAUAUAUAAAAAAGAGAAAAACCAGUGCCUCAGUUUAAAUAUGGUAAAUGGUCACACUGGGUAAGAGUACCCAUAAACAUUCUAGUUCCACAUAUUAACAGUCUCCCUUGAAAAGAAAGAGAGAGAGACUACAUAUAUCCAUAUUUUAAGAUCUAAAAGCUAAUGUUUUGAGAGAGAGAGAGAGAGAGGGAGGCUGGUUAGGUUGGUACAUAUUAAUCUGCUAAUAUGAGAUAUGGACCAGUUGCUACUGAGCCCGCUAAGAGUUGGGCUUAUGUUUACCUCUUAAGCCUGUCCUGCAAAUCCAUGAGAAGGCACUAACGGAAAAAGCUAGGCCUAGUUUCCCUUUUGUUCUAAUNNNAGUUAACAUGUCUCAUCUGCUGUUAGACAAAGUAGUACGAUUGAAUGCAGUAAUGUGAUGAGAAGUAAAAUGAGAGCAACAAUCUGCAUAGUAAAGAAAUGGACUUCCGAAGCUUCGUAUUCAAGCAUCAAGAAUUCAGACUUCAAAUGCUAAGCAAAGCUAAUGGGUACCUUUUUUUUCUUUUCCUUCCUUUUUCGUUGUCAAUCUUUAUCAAUGUCAUUGCACCACUAUAUGGGUCAGAAAGCUAUGAAACUUUCAAUAUUUUGACAUUUGCUAUAGUCCUUCCCUAACUAACAACCCUUUUUAAUCAAGAUUUACUUGCCUAUUAAGGUAGAAUGAUUUCUUAUACACAAUCCUCUAGGCCUAUAAUCAAGACAAUAUAUAAUUUGUUUCUACAUCAUUAGUAUCCACAUAAUGAUACUAUCUUUUUAUACUAGACCUUAAUUCUCUUUCUAAUAAAAUAAAAUACUAGAAAGAAUUCAUACUCUUGACUUCUUAAAUCAUUUGCUUGGCCAAUGAAAUCACACAUUCUAAUAAAAUUAUGUGAUCUCAUAAUGGAAUUAUAUUAAAAUCUUAGAAAGUCAAGAAACUUAUUUUGUAAUCCUAAUCUUAGUUAGUAAAGUGGAACCCUUCAUUACAAGGUAAGCACUCAACUACUAUAUCAUAACAAAUUAUUUAAUUCUUUUUUUCAACAAAAGAAAAAAGAAAAGAAAGAAAAGAUAAUGUUAAUACUAUGGCCGAGAUGUUAUAAUUAAGCUAAAAAAGAAAUUAUACAUAUUUUGUAUCCUGAAAUUACCAUCAAGUUUUCAAUUUACAUGGUUAUAAAUAAACCAUAGGAAGAUGUGGUUAAAACACGAAAAAGAACACACAAAAAAGAAGAAUUUACUAAAAUGGGGACUUAUCAGUACAAUUCUUCCUCUUUGGGGUGUAGUGGUUCUGCCGGCAGCGACAAAAGCAGUGGUGAGAGAAGCCGUAACAAAGAGAUUCUUAUAGAGGCUUUUCUAUCUCUUUUGUACUUAUUAAGGUUUUCUGCCUUAUUAAUACACAAGCUUCUAUCUUUUUUAAAAGGAAAAAC